GUCCACGCCGUAAACGAUGGAUGCUAGCCGUUGGAAGGCUUGCCUUUCAGUGGCGCAGCUAACGCAUUAAGCAUCCCGCCUGGGGAGUACGGUCGCAAGAUUAAAACUCAAAGGAAUUGACGGGGGCCCCGCACAAGCGGUGGAGCAUGUGGUUCAAUUCGAAGCAACGCGCAGAACCUUACCAGCCUUUGACAUCCCGGUCGCGGACACCAGAGACGGAGUCCUUCAGUUCGGCUGGACCGGAGACAGGUGCUGCAUGGCUGUCGU
This 267-nucleotide ribosomal RNA is filed under the name uncultured bacterium. RNAcentral describes it as "partial 16S ribosomal RNA". It matches the Rfam family "Bacterial small subunit ribosomal RNA", at positions 793 to 1055 of the family's 1533-position model. The record is from RNAcentral.